This is a long non-coding RNA of Cavia porcellus (domestic guinea pig), 2354 nucleotides long. RefSeq lists it as uncharacterized. The record is from RefSeq and is a predicted model, not a curated record. NCBI's taxonomy places the organism in Eukaryota, Metazoa, Chordata, Mammalia, Rodentia, Caviidae. The transcript has 4 exons.
CCAAAAAAGAAUAUUUGAAGUCUUUGCUCAGGCUUUGCCUGCUGAAACACCACUAUGAGUAGUAUGUUUAUCUGUUGUUCAAUUCAUCGCAGACUUCAGAAGUGCUUUGUAAGAUUUUGUCUGAGAUGUUGUUUGCAUAUAUUUUUCUUUUUGUUCAUAAACCAUAGUUUUAAUGUACAUAUGUUUUCCUCCUGAAAUUUUGGGAAUCAUUUUAAACUAACCAGGAACUUUAUUAUUCAACAUGGUGUGACCUAAUAGAUGAAUUUCUUUAACUUGUUGCUAGGAUAAAAUGUGAUGUGUCACAAUUCAUUGAUUCCAGAUUCUCAGCAGAAAGUUAUCUGGAAAGCAGUAGUGUAGCAGCAGAAUUGCAUCUCGGCUGCUGCGAGGAGGCAAAGCUCAAGAACAUGUUGAAGAGUCCCACGGAUGACAACAGAACACCCUAGAACUUCCUCUUGUAGAACAGGAGGCCGAAUCAGGAAGGUCUGCUGGAGGAGAAUGGAUCACAUUCCAGGCGAAGAUGAUGGCCCCGGUAUCACUUUGGUCACCACGCAGCAGUGAUUCAAUCUUGGAGACGCCGACUUCCCGUGUGAGCUCCCGACUGCCGGAGCAAGGGUAGGAAACAGUGUGUGCUGAACAGUAGACUGAAUAGUUCGCCCCCAGAGAAGGGGUGCCCUAGCUCUGAGCUGCAGGCUCCUCUGGAAGAGGGAAGAGCUCAGAUAGGCGGGAUUUUCAAAGACUGCAGGUCUUCCACAAGGGCUGCAGAAGGUGCUUGCAGCUUCUGAUGUACAUGGGUGACAGGACCAUCGUACAGUCAAUCAGAGAACAGCAGGCAGCAGCAGCAGCAGCAGCAGCAGCAGCAGCAGCAGCAGCAGCAGCAGCAGCAGCAGCAGCAGCAGCAGCAGAGGAGCAGGGUGCAGGAUUGGACCAGGCUGGAGCGCAGCGGAGCCUGGGACCCUGCACCGUGCCCUGAGCCAGCACCUGCAGAACCAGGCGAGCCUCGAAACGGAGGCUGCUCCCUCGCCACUGUCAACAGGGAAAGACGAACAUCCGAAACAACAUUGAACUAGCGCUGUUUUCUGAAACAGAAACAGAAAAAAUAAAACAACAUGGAGCAAUAUUAUAAGCAAAUUGUUGAGAAACAGAAACUUGUAAAAAUAAAAUUGCAAACAUAGGCAGAGGUUCCAAAAAUGAAGAAUACAAAAACGUCAAAAAUAAAAAUGCCACCACUGUUCAGGAUACCAGCACUAAAUUCUCUGCUCCCAAAAUGACAGGAAAGAUUUGGAUGGAUUUUGAAAAUUUAUCUCUGCUGUCCUGCAGAAUAAAAACAUCCUGGAAAAAAAUUCAAGCUUCCAAAUCAAUGAAGACACCUUGUCACCAUUCAAGACAAUAGGGAACAUGGCCACAAUGGCCAGAAGAUGCAAGAGCUUCAUUCCGGGCCUUGAAGAACUUUCAGCCUUCAACUGGUGCCCCUAACAGCAGCCAGGUCAUCCUAGGGAGAUGCAGGAGAGGGCAGCUGCUCUCAACAUAAGUGUCAGAGGCAGAGUUGGGUAUCUUGUGUAAAGGAAGAGAGGAGGAAUUCGUUGAACACUGGGGUGAUUAUGUAGCAAAUUUGUUCAAGAUGCGGUCAGAUAGCUGCAGGGUAGGAGCAUUUGUGAAAAAGAUGCACCUUUGAAGAGGAUCACAAUGAGAGGUGUCAAAUUGUUUUUCCUGCAGCAAUGGGUUAUAGCAUUUUAUAAAGAGUUCAUUAUAUCCACUUACAUGUACACAUCACAUUUGUGUAUCUAUCCAUAAAUAAGCUCACACUUACACACCAAAUCCAUGUAUUUAUAUGCACAUAUGUAGGUGUAGCUAUCGAACUGGUUAAUGCUAUCAUACUAACAUACCUAAUAUAGAGAUCAUAGCUACAUGGUUAGUUCUGAUCAUAUGUAGGUAUUGUACUAUGAAGAAAUACAAAACAGUGUUCCACUGAAUUUGAACCUCAUAUCAGAAAAUACUAUAUUUAAUUAAAUUAUUAACAUUGUGUUUUAAACAUCAAGGCAUUUGUGACUCUCUGCGAAAUGUUUAUUAUGGUCCAGGGGUUGCCACAAGAAGGAAUUUGUUCAUUGCUGGUGUAAGAAAAACAGUGUGAAUUCAGUUUGAAGGUCUGCUUCUGGUACUUAGUAUUAUAAUCUUCCACAAACUAACCAGACAGACAUCUAUAAAAUGAAAAUGUUGAGUGAAAUAAAUUAUUUGUCCCUAUCUUUCUUAUAAUUGCAUGAUUAACACAUAUUUGUAAAUAUACACUGAUUUUCCAAAUUCACCUAUUUAACAAUUUUGCAUUUAUACAUUUAAGAAGAAAAAAAGUCAAAUGUUGA